Molecule: ribosomal RNA, 253 nt
Filed under: uncultured bacterium
Lineage: Bacteria
Description: partial 16S ribosomal RNA
Rfam family: Bacterial small subunit ribosomal RNA
Source: RNAcentral
GACGUAGGGCGCGAGCGUUGUCCGGAUUUAUUGGGCGUAAAGAGCUCGUAGGCGGCUUGUCGCGUCGACUGUGAAAACCCGCGGCUCAACUGCGGGCUUGCAGUCGAUACGGGCAGGCUAGAGUUCGGUAGGGGAGACUGGAAUUCCUGGUGUAGCGGUGAAAUGCGCAGAUAUCAGGAGGAACACCAAUGGCGAAGGCAGCUCGCUGGAACGGUACUGACGCUGAGGCGCGAAAGCGUGGGGAGCGAACAGG